CUUUUGCAUAACCUCAGUAGAUAAAGCAUGCUGAGGUCAUGUCAGGUCAUUUCAAGCUCUUCUGUGUCGAGCUGAGGAACUGCUCUGUGCCCGGCUUACAGAACUGGAAGGGGUCGCCACCUUCCGCCUGAUGGAGGCUGGAGAAUGGAUGGAACCUGGAUCCCUGGAGCCUGGGACACUACCUCGCUGCGGUUGGUGGUGGCAGCAGACCAGUAGGAGGGCGGUUGGCAGCGGGAGCUUCUUCUGCCGGGCUGGAGGACUAGGAGAAGGAAGAGGGACCGCCACAUGCUGGAGGCUGGAGCCUGUGCCACCGUGGCUCACCUCGCUGUGGUUGGUGGCGGCUCGCCUUGCUGUGGUUGGUGGUGACGUCGGAGACUGCAGCUCGGCCACAGUGGUAGAAAUGUGUUGGGGUAGAUGGAGCCGGACUGUGUAGAACAAAUAAUUACAGAAACAAAGAAAACUUUUGCUGUGUUGGGCACUUGCUCCCAUCUGCUUUCUUCUCUAGAAUCCACUGCCCUAGAAUGAGUAAUUUUUCUUAGAAGCAGAGUUGGAACCACUGAAGAAGCACAGGUGAGCCCUCCCCAGGACACACUCGCUAGUCCCCAACGGAAGAACUGUUGCUGCAUCCAUUGAGGACCACCAGAACAACCCCAUCAUGGCCCUGUCACCAGGCCCAGUUUGGCUCCAUGAUAACCAAGACGCAGGUCCAGAGACAACCGCCCUGCUUGAUGCCUGCAUCUGACCUCCCUUGGUGGGUAGUGAUGAGCACAACAUGGAAGAAGCCAGGGCAGCUUGCGGCCAGCUGCCCUACAGCCCCAGAUGGCUGGGGACAAGGAUUCCAAAAGGAUGAUUUUGGAGCUGUAGGAUUGAAUGACUGGCCUGCUGGGUUUUGGAUGUUCAUGUAUCCUCUGAGUCCCAUCGGUGUUUGUUUUUCUUUCAGGCAAUUUUUCUUCUAUUGGCUGGGAAUGCUUACCCAUUGCCUGUACAAUCAUUGUACCUUGGAAGUAGUUAACUUGCUUUAUAAUUCAGAGGCUCAUGGGCAGAAGGGACUGUAUCCUUGUCCCAGAUAAAACUUUGGGCUUUGGACAUUUGCUGGAAUGAGUUAAGAUUUGGGGGACUGUAGGGAAGUCAUCAUCGUAUUUUGCAACGUGAGAAAGACAUGAGAUUUGCAUGGGCAGGGACAGAAUAAUAUGACUUGGCUCUGUGUCCCACUGAUGUGAAAUUGUAAUGGGAAAUGUUAAAGGUGGUGGGGGCUGGUGGAAGGUGAUUUAAUCAUGGUGGAGAG
Long non-coding RNA from Gorilla gorilla gorilla (western lowland gorilla), 1285 nucleotides. RefSeq lists it as uncharacterized. NCBI's taxonomy places the organism in Eukaryota, Metazoa, Chordata, Mammalia, Primates, Hominidae. The record is from RefSeq and is a predicted model, not a curated record. The transcript has 5 exons.